Molecule: ribosomal RNA, 478 nt
Filed under: Laevicaulis sp. BD-2011
Lineage: Eukaryota; Metazoa; Mollusca; Gastropoda; Systellommatophora; Veronicellidae
Description: partial 16S ribosomal RNA
Rfam family: Bacterial large subunit ribosomal RNA
Source: RNAcentral
UCGCCUGUUUAUCAAAAACAUAGMCAGCAGUUAUUAUUGUUGGUAACUUCUGCCCAAUGAAUAUUUUUAAUGGCCGCAGUACCCUGACUGUGCUAAGGUAGCAUAAUAAAUUGGCUUUUAAUUGAAGUCUGGAAUGAAUGAAGAAACGGAAAAAAACUGUCUUUUUCUGGUUAAUAAAAAAUUAUUUAGGUGGUGAAAAUCCCAUCUUUAAAAAUAGGACGAGAAGACCCUGAGAAUUUUUAAUAAAAAUUUUUAUAAGUUUGUUUUUUUAGCUGGGGCGGCUUAGGAUCAGUUUAAUUUUAACAUCCUGAUGUUUAUCUGUUUUUAGCAUAUUUUGCUAAUAUUACCUUAGGGAUAACAGCAUAAUUUUAUUUUUAGCUUGUGACCUCGAUGUUGGACUAGGGUUCUUAAGAUUAAAAGUCUAAAAGUUUUGUKCUGUUCGAACAUUUUUCCCUACAUGAUCUGAUUCCAGACCGSW